RNAcentral lists this ribosomal RNA (278 nucleotides) under uncultured Rikenellaceae bacterium. Its description in RNAcentral is "partial 16S ribosomal RNA". It matches the Rfam family "Bacterial small subunit ribosomal RNA", at positions 511 to 788 of the family's 1533-position model. The record is from RNAcentral. Lineage: Bacteria; Pseudomonadati; Bacteroidota; Bacteroidia; Bacteroidales; Rikenellaceae.
GCAGCCGCGGUAAUACGGAGGAUGCGAGCGUUAUCCGGAUUUAUUGGGUUUAAAGGGUGCGUAGGCGGUCUGGUAAGUCAGUGGUGAAAUCUCCGAGCUCAACUUGGAACGUGCCAUUGAUACUGUCGGACUGGAAUGGGGAUGCCGUUUGCGGAAUGUGUGGUGUAGCGGUGAAAUGCAUAGAUAUCACACAGAACACCGAUUGCGAAGGCAGCAGACGAAUCCUUGAUUGACGCUGAGGCACGAAAGUGUGGGGAUCAAACAGGAUUAGAUACCCC